UACAGAGGGGGCAAGCGUUGUUCGGAAUUACUGGGCGUAAAGGGCUCGUAGGUGGCCUUCUAAGUUGAACGUGAAAUCCCUGGGCUCAACCCAGGAACUGCGUCCAAGACUGGGAGGCUUGAAUCCGGGAGAGGGAUGCGGAAUUCCAGGUGUAGCGGUGAAAUGCGUAGAUAUCUGGAGGAACACCGGUGGCGAAGGCGGCAUCCUGGACCGGUAUUGACGCUGAGGAGCGAAAGCCAGGGGAGCAAACGGG
RNAcentral lists this ribosomal RNA (253 nucleotides) under uncultured bacterium. Its description in RNAcentral is "partial 16S ribosomal RNA". It matches the Rfam family "Bacterial small subunit ribosomal RNA", at positions 524 to 776 of the family's 1533-position model. The record is from RNAcentral.